Molecule: ribosomal RNA, 654 nt
Filed under: uncultured bacterium
Lineage: Bacteria
Description: bacterial SSU rRNA
Rfam family: Bacterial small subunit ribosomal RNA
Source: RNAcentral
AGGGGGCGGCCUAAAACAUGCAAGUCGAACGCCGUAGCAAUACGGAGUGGCAGACGGGUGAGUAACACGUGGGAACGUGCCUUUUGGUUCGGAACAACUGAGGGAAACUUCAGCUAAUACCGGAUAAGCCCUUCGGGGGAAAGAUUUAUCGCCAGAAGAUCGGCCGCGUCUGAUUAGCUAGUUGGUGAGGUAACGGUCACCAAGGCUACGAUCAGUAGCUGGUCUGAGAGGAUGAUCAGCCACACUGGGACUGAGACACGGCCCAGACUCCUACGGGAGGCAGCAGUUAGGAAUCUUGGACAAUGGGCGCAAGCCUGAUCCAGCCAUGCCGCGUGAGUGAUGAAGGCCUUAGGGUUGUAAAGCUCUUUCAGCGGGGAAGAUAAUGACGGUACCCGCAGAAGAAGCCCCGGCUAACUUCGUGCCAGCAGCCGCGGUAAUACGAAGGGGGCUAGCGUUGCUCGGAAUCACUGGGCGUAAAGCGCACGUAGGCGGCUUUCUAAGUCAGGGGUGAAAUCCUGGAGCUCAACUCCAGAACUGCCUUUGAUACUGGAGAGCUCGAGUCCGGGAGAGGUGAGUGGAACUCCGAGUGUACGAGGUGAAAUUCGUAGAUCAUUCCGGAAGGAACAACCAGUUGGGGAAAGGGCGGGUCAACUU